Molecule: ribosomal RNA, 253 nt
Filed under: uncultured bacterium
Lineage: Bacteria
Description: partial 16S ribosomal RNA
Rfam family: Bacterial small subunit ribosomal RNA
Source: RNAcentral
UACGUAGGGGGCAAGCGUUGUCCGGAAUUAUUGGGCGUAAAGAGCGCGUAGGCGGUCCGGUAAGUCGGUUGUGGAAGUCGGGGGCUCAACCCUCGGAUGCCGAUCGAUACUGUCGGGCUAGAGUCCGGAAGAGGCGAGUGGAAUUCCUGGUGUAGCGGUGAAAUGCGCAGAUAUCAGGAGGAACACCAAUGGCGAAGGCAGCUCGCUGGGACGGUACUGACGCUAAGGCGCGAAAGCGUGGGGAGCGAACAGG